GUACCGCGAACGGCGUCUUCCUCCCACCUCAGGCGUGAAACCCAAAUCAUAGGAGCAUAGGAGCACCGCGAGGCCCAAAGCUCAUCCGUGGAUGAAACCUCAGGCGUCUUCCUCCCAUUUCUCACCGUUCGACCCCUUCUCUUCAGCAAACCCUAAUCCAAAGAGGAACAGAUAAACCCAUUGGAUUUGGAGAUACGGAAACGACGAAUUCGGCUCCAACAUCGAAGAUCAACCUUGAAUACGAGUGGAGUCAGUGUUGCAUCCGCGUGUUCACGAUCUGAAGAAGAACAGGAUCAAGUGAGUUUAGUAGGAUACGCAUUACAAGUUCGUCGCCUUGUCGUCGGGGAAAAGGAACAACAAGGAGAAGAUGAUGCGGCGCAAUUGAUUUCAGCAAUGGAUUGACAUGGACACCCUGCGCAGCUUCCAACAAAAUUUAUUGCAAAUUGUUCUCUUCUUAUGAUCAUCUGAUACACUUCAUGGUAUCCCUUUCUCUGUGACUGUUGCAUCAGAACAAUCAGUGAUGAUGGAUUGAGCUCCUCCAGCCGCACACGAAGACAUUAGCAGGGAAAAUGAUUAUCAUGUUUUCUUUUAGACACUAGCAACUCCAGCUGCGUAUGAAGAAAAGGUCAUCAGAUAUGUUCAAUCAAGCAGCCAACUCUUGCUACCUGACUGGAAAUUUUGGCCUUUAUGAUGUUUUCUCCCUUGAGAAAAGAUGGCGUGACAUGAUCAGAUUUUGUAAUAUGAAAGAGGAAAAAGCAGACUAUAAAAUACCAUCAAAAAUAAUAAACAGGGAUUUGAAUGUUCCUAAUUUAACUAGAGCUAUUGCUUGAUGAUAAAGAUCAAUGUAUCCGAUUCUGACUGUUCUUGGUUUUUUCC
Molecule: long non-coding RNA, 876 nt
Organism: Musa acuminata AAA Group (dessert banana)
Lineage: Eukaryota; Viridiplantae; Streptophyta; Magnoliopsida; Zingiberales; Musaceae
Exons: 4
Source: RefSeq, a predicted model, not a curated record